RNAcentral lists this ribosomal RNA (467 nucleotides) under uncultured bacterium. RNAcentral describes it as "partial 16S ribosomal RNA". It matches the Rfam family "Bacterial small subunit ribosomal RNA", at positions 28 to 507 of the family's 1533-position model. The record is from RNAcentral.
GACGAACGCUGGCGGCGUGCUUAACACAUGCAAGUCGAACGGAAAGGCCUCUUUCGUGCGUUACUCGAGUGACGAACGGGUGAGUAACUCGUGAGUAACCUGCCCUUGUCUUUGGGUUAACUAACUUCAACAGGGGCUAAUUCCUGCCAGGUGAUCCUUCUGCCUGGUUGGGUUUGGAGAGUUUCGGCGUGUGGGGGUGGACUCGCGGGUUAUCCGCUUGUUGUUGGGGUAUUGGCUUACCAAGGCUUUGACGGGUAGCCGGCCAGAGGGGGUGAGCGGCGACACUGGGACUGAGAGACGGCCCAGACUCCGACGGGAGGCAGCAGGGGGGAAUAUUGCACAAGGGGUGGAAGCCGGAUGCAGAAACGCCGUGGGCGGGAAGACGGUCUUAGGGUUGUAAAACGCUUUUGCUCAUGACGAAGCUUUGUGUGACGGUAGUGGGUAAAGAAGCACCGGCUAACUACGUG